This 3434-nucleotide long non-coding RNA is filed under the name Cucumis sativus (cucumber). RNAcentral describes it as "long non-coding RNA (CSAT_LNC001534)". Lineage: Eukaryota; Viridiplantae; Streptophyta; Magnoliopsida; Cucurbitales; Cucurbitaceae. The record is from RNAcentral.
AAUAAUUCAUUUUACUCAACUCACUUCCAGAAGCAUAUAAAGAAGUCAAGAUGGCUCCCAAAUAUGGAAGGCAAAAAAUCACUACAGAUGAUGUAAUUUCAGCAAUAAAAACCAAAGAAUAAGAGUUAAAUUAGCAAAGAAGAGAUCAAACAAAUAGUGAAGGAUUGUUCUGAAAAGGAAAAACCAAAAGUAACUCAAAAGAAUCAAGAAUCAGAAGAAUAAAGAAAAAAUUGAAUUCACAUUUUGCCACAAAAAGGACACCUCAGAAAAGAUUGUUUCUUUCUAAAAAUAAAGCAAAAUGAAAAUAAACAAAAAGAAAAAUAACAAGAAGAACCUAAGGCAGAAGCAUCGUAGUAGAUCAAGUCCGGUUUGUGUAUUCAAAUACCUUAACUAUUUCAGAAAAUUCAAUUCAAACAAAGGGUAAUAAAGAAACUCAUGAUUGAGUUCAUGAUUCAAGGUGCUCUUUCUAUAUGACACCAUUAAAGAGAUGGUUUACAACAUACAAAGUUUAGGAUGGAGGCCUAGUAUACAUUGAAAAUGACAAUGUUUGCAAGAUUGUAGGCACUUGGUUUGUUACUCUUAAAUUCAAAGAUGGGACAACAACACACUUCUUAGGAAUGUGAGGCAUGUUCCAUCCUUGAAAAGAAAUUUAAUUUCCUUUGGUAUGCUAGACUCCAUAGGCUGUGAAUAUAAAGUUUCUGCAAGAAGGUUUGAAAUAUUUAAAGACUCAAAGAUCGUUCUUGUUGGUAUAAAAAUCAAUGGACUCUUUCUUAUCAAAGAAGUGUCCAUGAACCAUAUUGUCUUAAUUGUUUCUAAUGAUAAGCUAACCGAAGAGGAUUUGUGGCAUAAAAGACUUUCCCAUGUAAGUGGAAAGGGAUUGAAAAUAUUGUCAGAACAAGGGACUCUUCCUAAAGGAGUGGCUGAAAAGAUCUCUUUCUAUGAGCAUUGUGUAGUUGGAAAGUUCACAAGACAAAGCUUUCAUGUGGCUGAUCACAACACUAAAGAUAUCCUAUACUACAUUCAUUAUGAUCUAUGGGAACCCUCACAAAACACCAUCUUUAAAUAAUUUCAGAUAUUCUCUAACAUUUAUUGAUGAUUAUUCUAGAAAGAAUUGAGUUUAUUUCAUAAAAUCUAAAGGCCAAACUCUAGGAAAGUUUAAAGAAUGGAAAAUCAUGGUGGAAAACAAACUUCUAAACAAAUUAAAUGUCUAAGAACUGAUAAUGGUUUAGAAGUUGUAGUGAGGAUUUUAAUAAUUUUUGUAAAGAACAUGGAAUAAUAAGACAUAAGUCUGUUAGAUAUACUCCUCAACAAAAUGGUGUUGCUGAAAGAUUAAAUAGAACCAUAAUGGAUACAGUUAGAUGAUAAAUGUCUAAUGGUUUAAUUCCAUAAAAUUACUGUUUACACUCACUGUACCUAGUAAUUUAAGAUUCAAGUUCAAGCUAAGCGUUUAAAGGCUAAGGUUUAAGUUGAGCGUUUAAGGGCUAAGGUUUAAGCUGAGCGUUCAAGCGUGUCGCUCAGAGGCGCUAGGGUUGCUCAAGUCUCGUUCGCGUCUCACAACGUGAGGAUUAGGACGCUUUGCGGGAUGAGGCGUGACAAUUGACGUACAGUCGAGUACUUGACCUUUUUGGAAGUGUUUAAGUAUUUGAUUAUUUGACAUUGCAUAUAUGGCAACCAGCCCAAUUUAUGUAGUAGUGAGAAUGAUUUUAGAGAGAUUUUAAAAUCCAUUGUGGGAAGAAGUAACUUAUCAUCGUUAAGAAAUAAGGAGACCAAAUUCAGUCCCAUUUAUGUUGAGGAUCAAAAGCCCAUGUGAUUUUCUUUGUUGCUUAUACAUCAAGCAUGAUAACCAAUAAGCAAGCUUGUCAUUGGCUAAAUUUCUCUUUAAAUUGACAUAAUUGGUGUAAAGAAUAUAUAUAUGUCGAAGCUUUUCUAAUUUAUUCUGUGUAUUCACUAAAAAUUUGCUGUCAAGUGUGGUUUUUUUGUUUUGUUUAUUGUGACUAUUUUCCUUUCAUGGAGAGUUUUGUGAUCUUUGCAACAGGAGCAUUUUUUUAGAAAGAAAACGGAUAGAAAUCAUUUCAGAGCAUCGUAAACUCUUGUACUAAACUGAUAGAAAUCAUUUCAAAGCAUUGUAAACUCUUGUACUAUUCUACCUGAUUAUCUUCUUAGUCGAACCGCAUCAAUGUGGGCUAUUAAUUUGCCAUGAUCUUCCUAAAUAGGCAGAAGAAUUAAGUUAUUUUUCUAUUUGUUGUUUUGGUUAUUUAUUGUCUUAAUUAUCUCCAAAGUUUUAGCAAGCACUAAGUUAGUGGGUUACUAACUUUUGCUUCCUUUUAGACUAUAAAUAUUAGUCCAUCAAAUUGAAUAAAUGCAAGAAGUUCCAUUUAAUUUUUCUCUCCCUCUUGGCAAUAUAUCUUACAAAGUAUUUAUCUUUGUUUUCUUCAAGAAGAGUGCGUGAGAUUUUACAGAUUCUUUGUUGUAAAACCAACAUUUGGUAUCAGAGCAGGUUGUCUUCUCAUCGCAUAUUCCAACGAAGAUGGCAAGCACCUCGCAGCAAACAAAGGAGAAUGGUGGAAUGUCGAUUCUCUACCCGAUGUUAACUCCACACAACUACACGGUGUGGACGAUAAAGGCAGAAGCAAUCCUCGAUGCCCAACGAUUUUGGGAAGCAAUAGAGCCAGCGAGAGGAGCCGAAGUGGAUGUGAAGAAAGACAAGAAGGCGUGUGCAUACAUUCUCCAAUGCAUCCCGGAAGAUGUGCAACAAAUCGCUAAGAAGAAGACCGCAAAGGAAAUAUGGGAUAGUCUCAAGACAAGGUACUUGGGUAGUGAAUGGGUUGAGAUGGCGAGAGUUCAAACCUUGAAGAGUGAGUUUAAUGUUAUUCGGAUGAAGGAAACCGAGACGAUCGAUGAGUUCGCAGGAAAAAUCAGCGAAUUAGCAAGCAAGUUUACCACCCUCGGAGUUGCACUUGAGGAUUCAUCAUUGGUCAAGAAGCUCCUCGAUUCCGUCCCCGACAAAUAUCUUCCCAUUUGAUAGAACUAAGUCAUGCACAGCGGAAAAAGAAUCGAAUUUCUACCCUAAUUGCCACAAUUAACAUGUAACCAUAAACUAAUCAAAUUAGGGUUUUAAGAAAUAUUACCUUUGAAGCUUUCAAAAGGUUUGAUAUCUUCUUACAAUUCUAACCGAGACCACCACUAGUACUCAACUGCUAUCCUCUAGACAAAGAACAGGGUUGUGAGACCCAAUUUUGGUGUAGAAAGUAAUGAAGAUAAAAUGGGAUUGGAAGGUUUCCUUUUUUUCUUUGGUUGAGAUGAUGAAAAUGAUAAAAGAGGCAAAAGUUCUUCAACAUUUGAAAACACUUCUAUUUAUAACCUAAUUAUACAAAAAUGCAUACAAUUCAUUUGCAAAUCUCAACACCUAAUCUUCCACUAACAAUUAGUGGAAC